UGCACACAGCCAGUGCCCGUGUAUUGCGGACCCGCCAAAGACUAAUAGGGCACUAUUUAUAUAGCGAGGAGGACAGUAUAUGAUAUUAGGCAUAAUCAUCUUGUCAUUCUAGUUCUCUAUGGAGACAAAAGUGGUGUAUAUCUCGCUUUGU
Molecule: long non-coding RNA, 151 nt
Organism: Bufo bufo (common toad)
Lineage: Eukaryota; Metazoa; Chordata; Amphibia; Anura; Bufonidae
Exons: 3
Source: RefSeq, a predicted model, not a curated record